GGCCCAAAUUUGGGGUAAAGUAGAUUAGUAGGAUCGGCUAACCCUACUAAACUACUCUACUUCAAGUUUGUGCCU
Non-coding RNA from Haemonchus contortus (barber pole worm), 75 nucleotides. The record is from Rfam. Lineage: Eukaryota; Metazoa; Nematoda; Chromadorea; Rhabditida; Trichostrongylidae.